This 469-nucleotide ribosomal RNA is filed under the name uncultured bacterium. Its description in RNAcentral is "partial 16S ribosomal RNA". It matches the Rfam family "Bacterial small subunit ribosomal RNA", at positions 27 to 507 of the family's 1533-position model. The record is from RNAcentral.
GGAUGAACGCUGGCGGCGUGCUUAACACAUGCAAGUCGAACGGUGAAGGCGGAGCUUGCUCUGCUGGAUCAGUGGCGAACGGGUGAGUAACACGUGAGCAAUCUGCCCCUGACUCUGGGAUAAGCGCUGGAAACGGCGUCUAAUACUGGAUACGAGCUGCGAAGGCAUCUUCAGCAGCUGGAAAGAACUUCGGUCAGGGAUGAGCUCGCGGCCUAUCAGCUUGUUGGUGAGGUAACGGCUCACCAAGGCGUCGACGGGUAGCCGGCCUGAGAGGGUGACCGGCCACACUGGGACUGAGAAACGGCCCAGACUCCUACGGGAGGCAGCAGUGGGGAAUAUUGCACAAUGGGCGAAAGCCUGAUGCAGCAACGCCGCGUGAGGGACGACGGCCUUCGGGUUGUAAACCUCUUUUAGCAGGGAAGAAGCGAAAGUGACGGUACCUGCAGAAAAAGCGCCGGCUAACUACGUG